RNAcentral lists this ribosomal RNA (435 nucleotides) under uncultured bacterium. Its description in RNAcentral is "partial 16S ribosomal RNA". It matches the Rfam family "Bacterial small subunit ribosomal RNA", at positions 29 to 507 of the family's 1533-position model. The record is from RNAcentral.
AGCGAACGCUGGCGGCAGGCUUAACACAUGCAAGUCGAGCGGGCACUUUCGGGUGUCCGCGGCGGACGGGUGAGUAACGCGUGGGAACGUGCCCUCUGGUUCGGAAUAACUCAGGGAAACUUGAGCUAAUACCGGAUACGCCCUUUUGGGGAAAGGCUUGCUGCCGGAGGAUCGGCCCGCGUCUGAUUAGCUAGUUGGUGAGGUAACGGCUCACCAAGGCGACGAUCAGUAGCUGGUCUGAGAGGAUGAUCAGCCACACUGGGACUGAGACACGGCCCAGACUCCUACGGGAGGCAGCAGUGGGGAAUAUUGGACAAUGGGCGCAAGCCUGAUUCAGCCAUGCCGCGUGAGUGAUGAAGGCCUUAGGGUUGUAAAGCUCUUUUAUCCGGGACGAUAAUGACGGUACCGGAGGAAUAAGCCCCGGCUAACUUCGUG